GAGAUUAAUAUAAUUUGCCUGUGCAGUUGAAAUUGUUAUUGCGCCCGGGUGGUUCGUGAGGAAUUGCUUGUCUUCUCUUAAAUCUGCACGGAAUCACAAGUAGAAUUAUCUGUAUUGAGCUAGGAAAUUUCAAUAAGGUCUUCCAGGUAUGAUCUCAUUUAGCGAAAGUAAAUAAAUAAAUAAUUGAGGCCUUGUGAGGUUAAAGAGUUAUGGAUCUUUGCAUGGGAAUACAAGCUUCCAGGUAUGAUCUCAGUCUGAGCAUCUCAAUUUUGCCUGGGAAUGGAUUAAACUUUCUCUCACUAAUUGAACGAUAAGUCUUUUUAUAAUGCUCUCAUCCUAAUUUCAUACCAAAUUCCAGUCUUACUUUUCUUAAUGACUUAGGUCACUUAAACUUUAAGUGAAACUCUUAGAAUCAAGCCUAAGAGUUAGAAAAACUACUGGAUGUAGAAAUGAGGGCUUAGGGCAUCUCCAACCGAAAAUCCCAUUUUUCACUCCAAAAUACAGUGAAACUAAAAAAUGUCGUGAUUCAUCUUCAAUCGAACUCCAUUUUACACGCUUCUACAAAGGUAGUUGUCUUUCUCCUCAUUCACGUGCUUCUUCGACAAAUUCGGUCAAGAUAGAAAAAUAGCGUAGGUGAACAGUGCAACGCCAAUAUUGGCAAUCGCACUGUUCACCCUCCACCGAUUAGUGAUUUUUUUUACGUUCGAAUGGAGCAAAUCAGCUACGCCUUACAAUCGUUUGGAGUUCAGCUAGAGAUGUCCUUACCUGCAGUAUCCCACAAGCCAAGGUUCACAGUGCUGCCUUCCACCACCACAUUUGCACUGAAGUUAUCAAACACCGUAGGGACAUAAUCCUACACAUCAUCCGGGAAAAUAAAGGCAAUGAUCAAGAAAGAAACAAAAUAGGGAUGUAAAAUAUGGACGAGCGUAGUAUGAAUAUGAAUGUUGAUAAGAAAUUUGUACAGCAAUUUUGAUAAGGAGCUCAAUAUAUGAUUUCUUAAACUUCUUAAACAUUGCUUACCGUUGGAAAAGUGUUGCUAGUGUAGGA
Long non-coding RNA from Dendrobium catenatum, 1047 nucleotides. RefSeq lists it as uncharacterized. NCBI's taxonomy places the organism in Eukaryota, Viridiplantae, Streptophyta, Magnoliopsida, Asparagales, Orchidaceae. The record is from RefSeq and is a predicted model, not a curated record. The transcript is spliced from 2 exons.